RNAcentral lists this unclassified non-coding RNA (560 nucleotides) under Hevea brasiliensis (rubber tree). The record is from RNAcentral. Lineage: Eukaryota; Viridiplantae; Streptophyta; Magnoliopsida; Malpighiales; Euphorbiaceae.
UUUUUUUUUUUUUUUUAAAGCAGUACAUAAAGAAUAAAAGUUAAAUUUCAUUAGUUUAUUUUAUUUUCCUUUAAAUUAAAUUAGUUUGGUUUUUAAAUUGUUCAUUGGAUAUUAUUAACGAUGAGACUCUAAUGGUUAAGGGGGUCACACAUUAAUCAAUUAGACUCUUUAGACAAUAAUUGUGGUCUAUCUUAAAUUAAACCAUUAAUUUGGGAUAGAUUAAAUUGAGAUCCCUAUUAACUUAAUUAUCAAUUUUAGUUUAAUUUUGAUUUAAUCAUUGAGUUUUAUUUCGAUUACCAAUAAUUUUAUUUUCUCAAUAAAUCAAAUUAAUUUGGAUUUUAGGUGUUUAUUAGUUAUUGUUAAUGAUGAGACUCUAAUGGGUUAAGGGGGCUACCCAUUAAUCAAUUAAACUCUUCAGACAAUAAUUGUUGGUCUAUCUUAAAUUAGGCCACUGAUUUGGGACAGAUUAAAUUGAGAUUCCUAUUAAUUUGAUUUAUCAAUUUUUAUUUAAUUUAUCAAAUUUUGAUCUAAUUUUUAAUUUUAUUUUGAUUACCAAUAAU